UGAUGUGAGAGAGACCUAGCUAUGACAUCUGUCACUCUUUUGACUGUCAAUGAUUAGUUGCAGCUCAUCUGGCUGGCUGAACAGGUUGUUCUCUUCCUCCGUUAUAUUCCAAGUGCAUUGUCGCUGAAGUGCAUGCCCAUAGGAAGGAUGCAACUUCCUACUAGAGGACAAUUCUUUGGUUAAGAGAGUAUAAGUAACUGCCCUCCCUCAUCAGAAAGUUCCAACAUGCUCUGGAAGUUUAUUUGGUAGGGACUGCUGUCUCAAAGAGAUAAAUACACAAUCAAGCUCUCUCUGAAGCAAUGGAAGUGU
Molecule: small nuclear RNA, 309 nt
Filed under: Choloepus hoffmanni (Hoffmann's two-fingered sloth)
Lineage: Eukaryota; Metazoa; Chordata; Mammalia; Pilosa; Megalonychidae
Description: 7SK RNA (ENSCHOG00000016042.1)
Rfam family: 7SK RNA
About the family: 7SK was discovered as an abundant small nuclear RNA in the mid-70s but a possible function has only recently been suggested.
Source: RNAcentral